UACGAAGGGGGCUAGCGUUGUUCGGAAUCACUGGGCGUAAAGCGCACGUAGGCGGACUUUCAAGUCAGGGGUGAAAUCCCGGGGCUCAACCUCGGAACUGCCUUUGAUACUGUUGGUCUUGAGUCCGGAAGAGGUGGGUGGAAUUCCUAGUGUAGAGGUGAAAUUCGUAGAUAUUAGGAAGAACACCGGUGGCGAAGGCGGCUCACUGGCUCGACACUGACGCUGAGGUGCGAAAGCGUGGGGAGCAAACAGG
Molecule: ribosomal RNA, 253 nt
Filed under: uncultured bacterium
Lineage: Bacteria
Description: partial 16S ribosomal RNA
Rfam family: Bacterial small subunit ribosomal RNA
Source: RNAcentral